This 497-nucleotide ribosomal RNA is filed under the name uncultured bacterium. RNAcentral describes it as "partial 16S ribosomal RNA". It matches the Rfam family "Bacterial small subunit ribosomal RNA", at positions 28 to 507 of the family's 1533-position model. The record is from RNAcentral.
GAUGAACGCUGGCGGCGUGCCUAAUACAUGCAAGUCGAGCGAACGGACGAGAAGCUUGCUUCUCUGAUGUUAGCGGCGGACGGGUGAGUAACACGUGGAUAACCUACCUAUAAGACUGGGAUAACUUCGGGAAACCGGAGCUAAUACCGGAUAAUAGUUUGAACCGCAUGGUUCAAAAGUGAAAGACGGUCUUGCUGUCACUUAUAGAUGGAUCCGCGCUGCAUUAGCUAGUUGGUGAGGUAACGGCUUACCAAGGCAACGAUGCAUAGCCGACCUGAGAGGGUGAUCGGCCACACUGGAACUGAGACACGGUCCAGACUCCUACGGGAGGCAGCAGUAGGGAAUCUUCCGCAAUGGGCGAAAGCCUGACGGAGCAACGCCGCGUGAGUGAUGAAGGUCUUCGGAUCGUAAAACUCUGUUAUUAGGGAAGAACAUAUGUGUAAGUAACUGUGCACAUCUUGACGGUACCUAAUCAGAAAGCCACGGCUAACUACGUG